GCAGUCGUCGACAGAGUCGCCUGGCGCCCCGCGUGUUGCCAGUGUGUGUGCUGUGGCCGUGUGUGAAAGUGAUUUCAGUUUCUAGUUCUCGUUCAGCAUUGCCGACGGCACGACGUGUUUGCUCUACUCACUGAGUGUGUGUGUGUGUGUGUACGUGUGCGCAGUGCGUGUGCGUGUGCGUGAGCCUGUGCCUGUGUGUGUGGCGCGGGCGCCGAAGCAGCAGCAGCAGCAGCUGAAGCGCAAUUUCCAUUGCCUUCGCCAUUGCUUUGCGACCAGCGGCGACAAAACCAAACAAAACAAAUCCAAAUAACUGUUUCAUCAAUUGAGCAACAAAAGUCGGAUCAGUCAUAGAUACUAGUGAGAAGCACAAAAACGUAUCUCUUUGGACGUGCAACAAAUCAAUAUCAAAACAAAGAACCAAAGCUCAGUAAUCACAC
Drosophila navojoa is the source of this 437-nucleotide long non-coding RNA. The record is from RefSeq and is a predicted model, not a curated record. Lineage: Eukaryota; Metazoa; Arthropoda; Insecta; Diptera; Drosophilidae.